RNAcentral lists this ribosomal RNA (253 nucleotides) under uncultured bacterium. Its description in RNAcentral is "partial 16S ribosomal RNA". It matches the Rfam family "Bacterial small subunit ribosomal RNA", at positions 524 to 776 of the family's 1533-position model. The record is from RNAcentral.
UACAGAGGUGGCAAGCGUUGUUCGGAUUUACUGGGCGUAAAGGGCGCGCAGGCGGUUCUGUUUGUCGAGUGUGAAAGCCCCGGGCUCAACCUGGGAACUGCGCUCGAAACGGCGGAACUAGAGUUCGGGAGAGGAGAGUGGAAUUCCCAGUGUAGAGGUGAAAUUCGUAGAUAUUGGGAAGAACACCGGUGGCGAAGGCGGCUCUCUGGACCGAUACUGACGCUGAGGUGCGAAAGCGUGGGGAGCAAACAGG